This 349-nucleotide transfer-messenger RNA is filed under the name Propionispora sp. 2/2-37. It matches the Rfam family "transfer-messenger RNA". Rfam says of the family: Bacterial tmRNA, also known as 10Sa RNA or SsrA, is named for its dual tRNA and mRNA-like properties. Its role is to liberate the mRNA from a stalled ribosome. To accomplish this part of the tmRNA is used as a reading frame that ends in a translation stop signal. Lineage: Bacteria; Bacillati; Bacillota; Negativicutes; Selenomonadales; Sporomusaceae. RNAcentral also lists the same sequence under 1 other name. The record is from Rfam by way of RNAcentral.
GGGGGCGUAAUGGUUUCGACAGGGGUAGUUGUGGCAUGGGUAGCGAGCCGGGGUUCCAUCAGCCCGUUGAAACGGUGGACUUAAAGUAAAAGCAAACGAAGAUUACGCUUUAGCAGCUUAAUGCUAACGUCCUACUCUCCCUCUUCCUGCGGGGCGGGAUAGGGCGUCAACUAGCAGGAUACCUGAGGUCUCAUUCUCCGCGGACCGACUGGGAAACUUUAACGAGAUAGCACCGGCGAAGCCUGUCUGUAGGCGUCAAUGGAGCGAAAUUCUAAAUUACAGACUGCGCUCGGAGAGACCCGUGUAGCGGCACCUUUGGACAGGAGUUCGAUUCUCCUCGCCUCCACCA